GCCGCUCUAGGCCAACCCUCGAAGGCCGAGGUCCUCCGACGUUGACGUGCUCCGCCCCAGCGGUGCGUUUGCCGGGUGGCGCGUGCGCGUCUUGCUCCGCUGCGGGCGGUUAACGGUCGCGCUCGCGCCGCUCUUCCCUCUCUCCCUCCCCCUCCCCCCCCUCAGCCUCUGCUCGCGCGGGGCUGCCGGGGUUCGGUGCCUUCGAGAAGUUUCCCUCGCUCAGGGCUGAGGUGACCGUUAGGGAGUCUCGACAGCCCCCAUGCACCUGCCGCGUCAGCCUUCCACGGGAGUCUCGUUUCCUUAAGAAAUCGGAAUUCAGCCACGAUUCAUCCUUAGGAGGAGCCAAGUCCAAACUCCAAAGACCGGGAGCUGACUUAAAGUUCUUUACUGGAGUCUGCAUGCUUUUAGUAGAAGGAAGCAGAAGCCUGGAAGGCAGCAGGAAUGCCAUAGCUCCAUGUGUGUAACACUGCAG
RNAcentral lists this long non-coding RNA (472 nucleotides) under Apteryx rowi (Okarito brown kiwi). Its description in RNAcentral is "lncRNA (ENSARWG00000003159.1)". The record is from RNAcentral. Lineage: Eukaryota; Metazoa; Chordata; Aves; Apterygiformes; Apterygidae.